GAUGAAGAACGCAGCGAAAUGCGAUAAGUAAUGUGAAUUGUAGAAUUCAGUGAAUCAUCGAAUCUUUGAACGCACAUUGCGCCCGCCAGCACUCUGGCGGGCAUGCCUGUUCGAGCGUCAUUUCAACCAUCAAGCCCCCAGGGGCUUGUGCUGGGGCCCUGCGGCUGCCCGCAGGCCCUGAAAACCAGUGGCGGGCUCGCUAGUCACACCGAGCGCAGUAGCACAUCUCGCUCAGGGCGUGCGGCGGGCUCCUGCCGUGAAACCCCCCACUGUAACCCCAAAGGUUGACCUCGGAUCAGGUAGGAAUACCCGCUGAACUUAAGCAUAUCAAUAAGCGGAGGA
RNAcentral lists this unclassified non-coding RNA (342 nucleotides) under soil metagenome. Its description in RNAcentral is "partial contains 5.8S ribosomal RNA, internal transcribed spacer 2, and large subunit ribosomal RNA". The stretch from base 1 to 120 matches the Rfam family "5.8S ribosomal RNA", at positions 35 to 154 of the family's 154-position model. The record is from RNAcentral.